GAUGAACGCUGGCGGCGUGCCUAAUACAUGCAAGUCGAGCGAACAGACGAGGAGCUUGCUCCUCUGACGUUAGCGGCGGACGGGUGAGUAACACGUGGAUAACCUACCUAUAAGACUGGGAUAACUUCGGGAAGCCGGAGCUAAUACCGGAUAAUAUAUUGAACCGCAUGGUUCAAUAGUGAAAGACGGUUUUGCUGUCACUUAUAGAUGGAUCCGCGCCGCAUUAGCUAGUUGGUAAGGUAACGGCUUACCAAGGCAACGAUGCGUAGCCGACCUGAGAGGGUGAUCGGCCACACUGGAACUGAGACACGGUCCAGACUCCUACGGGAGGCAGCAGUAGGGAAUCUUCCGCAAUGGGCGAAAGCUUGACGGAGCAACGCCGCGUGAGUGAUGAAGGUCUUCGGAUCGUAAAACUCUGUUAUUAGGGAAGAACAAAUGUGUAAGUAACUAUGCACGUCCUGACGGUACCUAAUCAGAAAGCCACGGCUAACUACGUG
RNAcentral lists this ribosomal RNA (497 nucleotides) under uncultured bacterium. RNAcentral describes it as "partial 16S ribosomal RNA". It matches the Rfam family "Bacterial small subunit ribosomal RNA", at positions 28 to 507 of the family's 1533-position model. The record is from RNAcentral.